Molecule: transfer RNA, 73 nt
Filed under: Micromonospora tulbaghiae
Lineage: Bacteria; Bacillati; Actinomycetota; Actinomycetes; Micromonosporales; Micromonosporaceae
Also listed under: 1 other name
Description: tRNA-Trp
Rfam family: tRNA
About the family: Transfer RNA (tRNA) molecules are approximately 80 nucleotides in length. Their secondary structure includes four short double-helical elements and three loops (D, anti-codon, and T loops). Further hydrogen bonds mediate the characteristic L-shaped molecular structure. tRNAs have two regions of fundamental functional importance: the anti-codon, which is responsible for specific mRNA codon recognition, and the 3' end, to which the tRNAs corresponding amino acid is attached (by aminoacyl-tRNA synthetases). tRNAs cope with the degeneracy of the genetic code in two manners: having more than one tRNA (with a specific anti-codon) for a particular amino acid; and 'wobble' base-pairing, i.e. permitting non-standard base-pairing at the 3rd anti-codon position.
Source: RNAcentral
AGGAGCGUAGCUCAACUGGUAGAGCAUCGGUCUCCAAAACCGAAGGUUGCAGGUUCGAGUCCUGUCGCCCCUG